GUCUCCGAUAAUCAUAAAACUCUAAACUUGCAGGCUGCUGAAUAUUUGAAUGACAAGCGGAGCU
RNAcentral lists this small RNA (64 nucleotides) under Salix viminalis (osier). The record is from RNAcentral. Lineage: Eukaryota; Viridiplantae; Streptophyta; Magnoliopsida; Malpighiales; Salicaceae.